Molecule: unclassified non-coding RNA, 269 nt
Filed under: plant metagenome
Description: partial contains small subunit ribosomal RNA, internal transcribed spacer 1, and 5.8S ribosomal RNA
Source: RNAcentral
UUUCCGUAGGUGAACCUGCGGAAGGAUCAUUAAUGAGUUGUCAUGGGGUUCGAUGCUGGCAGCCAAUUUUUGGAUGCAUGUGCUUGCCCUAACAAUCAUCUUCCAAACACCUGUGCACAUUUUUGAGGAUGUCUUGAGUUGGUUGCCGCUCUUGGGUGAUUUUCUCACAUUCCCUUAAAUCAUUAUACGCUAUUAACAAUGUUGAACGUGCUCUGUGCCGCAAGGCUAUUAAUAUAAUACAACUUUUAACAACGGAUCUCUUGGCUCUC